UGGGGGAUAUUGCACAAUGGAGGAAACUCUGAUGCAGCGACGCCGCGUGAGUGAAGAAGUAUUUCGGUAUGUAAAGCUCUAUCAGCAGGGAAGAAAGACCUCGAAAGAGGGGAUGACGGUACCUGAGUAAGAAGCCCCGGCUAACUACGUGCCAGCAGCCGCGGUAAUACGGAGGGUGCGAGCGUUAUCCGGAUUUAUUGGGUUUAAAGGGUGCGCAGGCGGCGCGAAAAGUCAGCGGUCAAAGUUCCGGGCUCAACCCGGUGACGCCGUUGAAACUUUCGUGCUGGAGUUCGUGCGAGGGAGGCGGAGUGCGUUGUGUAGCGGUGAAAUGCAUAGAUAUGACGCAGAACCCCGAUUGCGAAGGCAGCUUUCCAGCACGCGACUGACGCUGAGGCACGAAAGCGUGGGGGAGCGAACAGGGAUUAGAUACCCUGGGUAGU
This 440-nucleotide ribosomal RNA is filed under the name uncultured Butyrivibrio sp. RNAcentral describes it as "bacterial SSU rRNA". It matches the Rfam family "Bacterial small subunit ribosomal RNA", at positions 355 to 794 of the family's 1533-position model. Lineage: Bacteria; Bacillati; Bacillota; Clostridia; Lachnospirales; Lachnospiraceae. The record is from RNAcentral.